CUAACUUUAUUUAUAGUAUAUUAGUAGAAAAACGCUUUUAUGAAUCUCGUUGCGUUUUUAUUAUAUUGUUUAUAAUUGAAUGUUUCGGGUUAGCAAUAUAUAGUAGAAGUCAAAAGUACACCUCGUUUUCAAAACUAAUUUAAUUGCCGUAGUUUUAGUUUGUACGUUGUACGUUGUACUUUUGACUUCUACUUUAAGAUUUAUACUUAUAGCACAAAAUUAGCGUUGUACUUUUGGCUUCUAUUUAAGAUUUAUACUUGUAGUAUAAAACUAGUAAUGUACUUUUGACUUCUAUUUUAAGAUAUAUACUUACACUCUAAAAACAGUCCGUUAAGAAAAGUAACGGGUUGCGCUUUUUCGUUAAAUUAACGGAUUAAUUCGUUACCAAAAACUAGAAAAUUAACGGAGUAAAAUUAACUAUUUACGGAUUCUUUGAAAUUUCGUUAAUUCAACGGAUUAAAUAUUUUAAUCAGUGAAAAAAAAUUUUUCAGAAUAGCUUUUUAUUUUGAAAAUGAUAAAGUUUUGAAUGCGUUUGUCUCACAUUUACAUUUACAUCGUAGAUAAAAGUUGGUUGCAGUAAGUGUAAUGUGCCAUUUUUUAAAAAGCUUUACAUUUAGUAGACAAAGCAAAUGGAUAAGUAUAAUUUAAAUUACGCUCUGUUAUUUGUAAUUUCGAAGGUUAUUUAGAUUAUUUUAAAUUUUCUAUAUAAAGCUUUAUAUAGAAAAUUUAACAAUAAGGUUUAUUUUGUUUUAAAUUAAAAGCCAUUAGUAUUACUAAAUAAUAUAUAAUAACAUAUAUGGUAAGUUGAUACAUAUCAUAUAUGGUAAGUUACUACAUGUCUAAAUCUAGAAAAUUAUGCAAGAAUAUAUGCAAUCCAUAUAGUCUAUGUUAUAGAAAUAAAAGUUCAACUAAUCCUUUACUAGUAGUACAGGGUUAGUUGAACAAUUAUUUCUAUAAUAUAGACUAAAUGGAUUAUUUAUAGUCAUUUUUAACUUUAUAUUUUAGACAUAUGACAUGUAGUAACAUACCAUAUUAGUUUAAAUCAGUUGUAAAAUUAAAAAUGUUAACAUCUUUGAUAGGUAUAUUUAUUUAGUUUAGUUACAGCUAAGUUUACAUGGCUAGUUAAUUUGCUUUUAUAAACUGCAAUUUUAAUUAACUUCCAAAUUAAACAUGUGGCAUCCAAUAUCAUAAACUAAGUUUAUACUGGUGUGUUUAUAUUAUUUUAGAAUUUUUUGUUUUAGACACAUGGCAUUUGCUAUCCCACUACACGUGGCAUGUGGUAUCCCACUACACUUGGUAUGAGCUGUCAUACUGAAAGUUUAAAUUGGUUGUAAAAUUUAUAUUGUAACUUGCAUUUCUAUUGGCGUGCAUAUUUAUUUAGUUGAGUUUCAACUAUUAAUAAUAAUAAUAAAAAGUUUACAUCUGGUGUGUUUAUAUUAUUUUAGAAUUUGCUGUUUUAGACACGUGGCUUGUGAUAUCCCACUAAUUAGCUAUUUUAAACAUGUGACAAGUGGUAUGACACUGUAUUGAUGUAUGUGAAAUGUAUAGAGUCUUUCAGUUAUCAGAUAAUGUCAAGGAGUUGACAGCAUGGUGUCCUAUUUAAAGUGCGAACCUGUGUACGAGUAACAACAGUAUUCAAAACCAAAACCUAUUUAAACCAACCAAACCAAAACUAGCGACCAAAAACUAAUAUCUUGGCAUUGGUUUAUUUUAAACAUCUAUUAUAUAUAUGUGUGUGUUUUAUAUAAAUGUACUAGCUUGAGUAUAGUGUAUUAAAAAUAUUUUUUUUAACUAUUUUUAUUGUAAUUUAAAGUAUA
Molecule: long non-coding RNA, 1817 nt
Organism: Hydra vulgaris (swiftwater hydra)
Lineage: Eukaryota; Metazoa; Cnidaria; Hydrozoa; Anthoathecata; Hydridae
Source: RefSeq, a predicted model, not a curated record